UUUUUUUGAGUUUUGCUCCCAAAUUUUUUGUGGAGGUUUAGUACCCUAUCUUUAGUAAGUUGUCAAGGUUUGGUGCAUUUUGAAGUUUUUUUUCUAUAUUUCUUUAUUUAAUUGCGACUCGUUGCAUUUUUUCCGACGAAUUUGAUUUGAACUGCAGGUGCAUGGAAUAAUAGUGUCCUAUGGUUACAAAACUGCUAUUCUUGCUUGUGUGCGUGGAAUUAGGUCAAAUCCAUGUCCUGGCGCCAAAUCUCGAUGAGCGUGCUCGCAGGGCAACGCUUCCAACUUGCCUGCGCGCGGUUUUUUAAUUAUAAAAAACUCAAAUGACCUCGAAAAUCCACGAAACUUCUCCACCUGCCUUGAUAUGGUAUGGGAAGGCUAUGGUAAAAAUUUGAAAAAAUUUGGAAUAAGUUUGCACG
Molecule: long non-coding RNA, 416 nt
Filed under: Sorghum bicolor (sorghum)
Lineage: Eukaryota; Viridiplantae; Streptophyta; Magnoliopsida; Poales; Poaceae
Description: long non-coding RNA (SBIC_LNC015069)
Source: RNAcentral